This 88-nucleotide transfer RNA is filed under the name Armillaria gallica. It matches the Rfam family "tRNA". From Rfam's summary of the family: Transfer RNA (tRNA) molecules are approximately 80 nucleotides in length. Lineage: Eukaryota; Fungi; Basidiomycota; Agaricomycetes; Agaricales; Physalacriaceae. The record is from Rfam by way of RNAcentral. RNAcentral also lists the same sequence under 2 other names.
GCCCGCCUAGCUCAAUCGGAUAGAGCGUCAGACUCUUAGGCAAUAGGCGGGUAUCUGAAGGCUGGGGGUUCGACCCCCCCGGUGGGCU